This 490-nucleotide ribosomal RNA is filed under the name uncultured bacterium. RNAcentral describes it as "partial 16S ribosomal RNA". It matches the Rfam family "Bacterial small subunit ribosomal RNA", at positions 30 to 507 of the family's 1533-position model. The record is from RNAcentral.
AUUGAACGCUGGCGGCAUGCUUUACACAUGCAAGUCGAACGGCAGCACGAAAGAGCUUGCUCUUUUGGUGGCGAGUGGCGAGCGGGUUAGUAAUGCAUCGGAACGUACCGAGUAAUGGGGGAUAACUGUCCGAAAGGAUAGCUAACACCGCAUACGCGUUGAGAAGGAAAGUGGGGGCGCUUCGGACCUCACGUUUUUCGAGCGGCCGAUGUCGGAUUAGCUAGUUGGUGGGGUAAAGGCCUACCAAGGCGACGAUCGGUAGCGGGUCUGAGAGGAUGAUCCGCCACACUGGGACUGAGACACGGCCCAGACUCCUACGGGAGGCAGCAGUGGGGAAUUUUGGACAAUGGGCGCAAGCCUGAUCCAGCCAUGCCGCGUGUCUGAAGAAGGCCUUCGGGUUGUAAAGGACUUUUGUUAGGGAAGAAAAGGAUAGUGUUAAUACCAUUAUCUGCUGACGGUACCUAAAGAAUAAGCACCGGCUAACUACGUG